GUGGGGAAUAUUGGACAAUGGGCGAAAGCCUGAUCCAGCCAUGCCGCGUGUGUGAAGAAGGUCUUCGGAUUGUAAAGCACUUUAAGUUGGGAGGAAGGGCAGUAAGUUAAUACCUUGCUGUUUUGACGUUACCGACAGAAUAAGCACCGGCUAACUUCGUGCCAGCAGCCGCGGUAAUACGAAGGGUGCAAGCGUUAAUCGGAAUUACUGGGCGUAAAGCGCGCGUAGGUGGUUUUGUAAGUAGGAGGUGAAAUCCCCGGGCUCAACCUGGGAACUGCCUACAAAACUGCAUGACUAGAGUACGGUAGAGGGUAGUGGGAUUUCCUGUGUAGCGGUGAAAUGCGUAGAUAUAGGAAGGAACACCAGUGGCGAAGGCGACUACCUGGACUGAUACUGACACUGAGGUGCGAAAGCGUGGGGAGCAAACAGGAUUAGAAACCCGUGUAGUCC
This 450-nucleotide ribosomal RNA is filed under the name uncultured bacterium. RNAcentral's name for it is "partial 16S ribosomal RNA". It matches the Rfam family "Bacterial small subunit ribosomal RNA", at positions 354 to 796 of the family's 1533-position model. The record is from RNAcentral.